Leptidea sinapis is the source of this 1065-nucleotide long non-coding RNA. RefSeq lists it as uncharacterized. The record is from RefSeq and is a predicted model, not a curated record. The transcript has 2 exons. Lineage: Eukaryota; Metazoa; Arthropoda; Insecta; Lepidoptera; Pieridae.
UUGAAUAGCAGAAAUUUUUCCAGCCAUCAAAUUUCUUUUUCUUUAGAAAUUUUGAAGUUUCUGACAUACUCUUUGUAAGAAUUUCAAAAUUCUCAUCAGUGGAACAUUGACAGUAUGUAAUUUCAGCAUAUUUUCUUCUCUUUACUGCCACAGUACAUUCGUUAUCCCACCAAGGAGGAGAAGGAAUAAAACCCAAAGAGCUAUUUUUACUUGGAAAUAUCUCAUUGGUAACCUCAAUAAAGAUUCUUGCUAAAGAAUCUGCACACUGAGAUUCUGUACCUGGAUUAAUUUUUGGAAGUGUUGGAAAUGAUAAUAAUAGUGGGAAGUGAUCACUACCAAAAGUAGAUCGUAAUGGAUCCCAGGACAAAGAAGAAGCAAGAUUAGGUGUAGUGACUGUUAAAUCUGGAGCACUUGGGCCCUCGUCAGGAUGAGAACGUCGUGUAGGACGACCAUCAUUUAAUAUACACAAAUUCACUGAAUCAAAUAUAUCUAUUAAUGUGUUACCAUAACUAUUAGAAGAUAAGUAACCCCAGGAUUCAUGGCGACAAUUAAAAUCACCAAGGAUCAUAAAAGGCUUCGGAAGAAUGGAAAUAAUAUCUUUAAUUUCAUUUAAGAUUGAAGAAGAAGGAUGAGGUAUAUAAAUAGAUACAUAACAGAUAUUUUCAACUAAAGCAGCAAUAAUAGAAAAAUCAUUACUGUGAGAAGGAAUAGAGAAGAGAGAAAAGGAAAGAGGGUGUUUCACAAGCAUGGCUACUCCGCCAUGCCCAUCCACACGAUCUUCUCUGAGACAUGAAUAACCACGAAUCUUAAAUAAAGAUCCUGGUUUCAACCAUGUCUCUUGAAGAGCACAGAUAUAAGGUUUAUAUUUAUUUAAUAAAUAAAUAAGAUCACUUUUUUUAGGAGUGAUGCUUUGACAAUUCCAUUGAAGAACUUUGUCCAUUAUUUGGUUUAUAAAUUUGAGUAAUUGCAGAAACUAAUAAGGCAGCGUUGGACGGUGAAAAUUCAUUCGAUUGACUAAGAGAUUUUAUAAGAGAAAUAAUUAAAUCAAUUACUGAGGAUUCCAAA